GUUUAAUUAGUUUAAUUUAAAAUUGUAAAUUGUGGAUUUACAGAUGGGUAACACAUUAAACA
This 62-nucleotide transfer RNA is filed under the name Rhipicephalus simus. Its description in RNAcentral is "tRNA-His". The record is from RNAcentral. Lineage: Eukaryota; Metazoa; Arthropoda; Arachnida; Ixodida; Ixodidae.